GGAAAAGGGAAAAUCAAGGCACGGCACAUGCUGGAGCUGGAUACAAAGCAUUUUUGUCCAAGUUGACCUCAUCUAGGAAUAGACAUGCCAAAUCCAAGAGACUCGAUGACUGUGAAGUCAGUUGUGGGCCAUGCUCAAGGAGAUCUUUUCUUAGAAACUAUAAAAAUUUUAGUAGAAGUGGACUUCCCCAGAGGUUUUUAUAUUACGA
This 208-nucleotide unclassified non-coding RNA is filed under the name Hevea brasiliensis (rubber tree). The record is from RNAcentral. Lineage: Eukaryota; Viridiplantae; Streptophyta; Magnoliopsida; Malpighiales; Euphorbiaceae.